UUUCCGUAGGUGAACCUGCGGAAGGAUCAUUAAAUAGUUUAGAUGGCCUCCUAGAACUUGUUCUAGUUAGGUUCAUUCUUUUUUACUGUGAACUGUUUUAAUUUUCAGCGUUUGAGGAAUGUCUUUUAGUCAUAGGGAUAGACUAUUAGAAUGUUAACCGAGCUGAAGUCAGGUUUAGACCUGGUAUCCUAUUAAUUAUUUACCAAAAGAAUUCAGUAUUAUUAUUGUAACAUAAGCGUAAAAAACUUAUAAAACAACUUUUAACAACGGAUCUCUUGGUUCUC
RNAcentral lists this unclassified non-coding RNA (284 nucleotides) under plant metagenome. Its description in RNAcentral is "partial contains small subunit ribosomal RNA, internal transcribed spacer 1, and 5.8S ribosomal RNA". The record is from RNAcentral.